UUUUUAAAAAAGGUUGUCCACUUUUGACGUCCCUAGAUAUUUAUUUUCCCAUCGUCAUUGUAAUCUGGUUUCCAUUCCUACACUCCCCUGAAACUGUUAUCUGUCGCAUGAGUAACUCCAAUAAACACUCCUCAGGUCUCAUUUCAUUUGACUGACUGGUCAACCACUUUAGGUACAUUGAUUACUUCCUCCAUCUGAAACACUCCAUCUUUAGGAAUGCCCACCUUGCUAGAACUACUUCCCUGAAUGCUUCUCGGGAGUACUCUUUGUGGUUUCUCUCCUGUUUCUCUAUUCAUCCUUAAAUAUGGUUACCCCUGAAAGUUUGGUGAAGGGCUCCAAUUCUUUUUAUACUGUUAAGUACAUAAAGGCCAUUGGACUAAAGUGGCUCUAAUGUCUUUGCCCAAAAUCUGUGUCAAUGCCUCAAGGUUAUGAAACCUAAACACUAAGAACAACCAGUCACAAACAGCGCACUAGGUUUUGAGCUAUGGCAAUCAAAUAAUUUCCUUUGUCUCCACACCCCUACAUAAAUCUUUCCCCAGGCUCCUGUAGGAGCUCCUAAACACUUUUGGGUUUGGCCCUGCCCAAUUCCAAGAGACUUUUUCUCAAGAAACUCUUAAAAAUUUUAAUAUGCCUCAGUUAUCUUUUAACAGUCUCUCUCAUUCCCUCCAAGCCUACCUAUACUGCUAAUAAAUGCAUGCCUCAGUUUCCAUCAGGCUCCUGAUGUAUUUAUUAAAGUACUUUUCUACCCUUUAGGCAUUCUGCCUCUAAAUCUGUUUCUGUGAGGGACUUUUAUUAUCUCUCAACUUCCCAAACCAGAAAUCUGCAAUCGUCCCGUCUUUUCCCAUUGUUUCAGUCUUGAGAGUCAAUCAGCUACCAAGCCCAGGCCAUUCUUCUUAAGGCAAUAGUUCUCAAAUCAUUUCAGCGGACACCCAGGCCAUCAUUAUGUCACAACUUCUUAAGGGGUCUUCCAGUUUCUAAUCCGAGUCUGUGUUAAUCUAUGCUGUACGUAAAGUCAGAGUGAUUCUUUGAAAAUUGUAAAGUAGAUCACGCCACUCCUCUGCCUAAAGUGCUUCAGAGUUUCUUGUUUUGAGGUUCAAAGCUCUGAAAAGUCCCUAGCAUUUCUCCCUAGGUUUCGCCCCUGCGCUCCCCUCUUGCAAGCAACCUGCAGCCCUUCUGAAUUUCUCUGAAUUCCUAGAGGGCAUGCUUGCAGCCUCCCCGCUGGUCCCCUCAGGGGAAAUAAACCUCCUCCUUUUCCUGACCGACUCUGCAUUCAGCCCCUUUUAACCUCAACUUUAUGUAUAAUCACAUCCAGGAAGCUUCUAGAAAACUGCUUGACAACCCCCCCUCCAGUUCGAACUAACUCCUCGGUAGGUGUUCCCAGGGCGUCCGGUACUCAUCCAGCAAUUAGAGGACUGUCUUGCAAUUGCCUAUUCCCUCAAGGCCCAGUUGACUGUAAAACCCUGGAGGGCAGAAACCACGUGCUCUUCUUCCCCCUCCCCCCACCCCCCAGGGCCUAAGAGCAGCGUCUGACCCACAAAACAGUAGUUCAAUUCAUAUUUGUUGAACGAGUACCUAUUCACUUCUGUGGCCCGAAGGAGAGCAGAAAAGAGGCGGGCUUAAGGGAGACGGAGUACGGCAAGUCUGUAGGCAACAAGUGCGGGGGAGAGAGUACCUAGGUUCUUCCACCCCUCGGGGCGGGGGCCCGGGCCCACUGCCUAGCGGAAGGCAGGCGCCGCGACCUCCGCAGGGAGCGCGCGACCCCGGCGAGGAGGGACAAUAGCUUGGAAUUCGGCCUCGUGUUUCCGGCGGGGCGGCCUCGCGCUCGGCGGGUGCGGCCCGCGGUGGGGGCUCCGAGCCGGGCCCGCUGCGCUCC
Molecule: long non-coding RNA, 1873 nt
Filed under: Canis lupus familiaris (dog)
Lineage: Eukaryota; Metazoa; Chordata; Mammalia; Carnivora; Canidae
Description: lncRNA (ENSCAFG00000052832.1)
Source: RNAcentral